CUGCAAUUAGCGGAAUGCCAGCCAGCAGGUGGAGACGCAUGAAAGCAAUCCCAGAGCACGGACGGGCUGCCUCGACACCGCAUUCCCAUAGCCCCGGCCAAGCCAGCCAGAAAAUAUCGGUAUUGGCUCCACGGAAAAGUGCAGAACUAAAAAUCUUGGAUUGCUGACAGGACAUGUGACGGAGCAGCCCCUGCUGAGGAGCCGUCCAGCACCUUUCAUGUCUCAGUUUGCAGCACUGAGGUGACAUCAAUGGCUUCUGGGCUGUCACCAGGACAGAAAAACCAGAGGCCAUGUGAGCAAGCUUGUCACACACCCUGCCUGAUGAUAAGGUCAACUGCUGGCUUGUUGUGUGAUCCCAGACAAAGCCCUAGAGCUCCUUCUGACUCAUCUUCUCUGCCUGGAAAUCAAAUCCAGUUUCUUAAGGAACUUUUUGGAUCUUGGGUUAGAGUGAUGACCCCAGCCAUGGAUGAAAGCCGAGUUUCCCAUCUGACCUCUUGUUUUAAGUUUCUACCUGUGUAACUCUGCAUUGUGGAUAUUAACUCUCUGGGGCCUGUAGGUGAGCACAACACUGAGAGCAAAUGAAAGGUGGAGCUCUCCUUUAAGGAACCUGAAGUUUAAGGAGCGUUAUUCCCAGAGUUAACUCCAUUUGUGCUGGAAUUCCCUUGGAGAUCAAAUUCUACAGUGUGACUGCUUACAAAACCUGUGGGGCUCCAAAAACCCACAGAGGGAGGAAGGUAGGUAUUUCUGCCCUGCUGGAGGGGAUCAUUUGUCUGAAGAAAGAGAAAGGAGCGCCCAUGAAUGUGUGGUAGGGCCAAGCCAGCCUGGCCUGGCAGUUCCUCAGGGAUUUGGGCUGGGCAGGAACACCAUCAGCUGCAUCCCUGCUCUGAAGGCAGCACCUAAACCCGGUGUGAAACCCAAGCAGAUCCCUCAUGUGUGUUAGGCUCUUUCCCCAGGCACUCCCCCCUGGACCUGGCAGAGCAUUUUCCAUCAGGCAGAGCUGCUCCAUCCACCCUUUUCCUGGUUGCUCAGCAUGACCCAAAUUUUCUGGUUGCUCAGGACCCAAAUUUUAACUGCCACACAUACUGCAAGUGUGAUUCAUGCCUCCAAACACAAUGUAGGUGCAUAACUAAGACCCAGUGAAUCAUGUUGUGGAAGUGCCUGGCUUUUUCCAGUGACUGUAGCUCAGAUAGAGGAAUGAAGAGCAGCUGAAGCGUGGUGGAGCUGCUCCCACAGCACAUGCCUGUUAUCUCAGUUUUUCAGAUCAUGUUUAGACACCUCACAAGAUCUGGAAGGGGGUGGUUAAUCUCCAAAUCAUUCUGCUGGCCAGGGCUUUACAGUGUGUUUUUGUACUAAAAAAUAAGUGACGUCACAUAAGUGCAAUUGACCUGUAAAAACCAAAUAAAUCUGGGCUCCUUCUCUGUAGGUGAUAAAGA
RNAcentral lists this long non-coding RNA (1433 nucleotides) under Serinus canaria (Common canary). RNAcentral's name for it is "lncRNA (ENSSCAG00000008235.1)". The record is from RNAcentral. Lineage: Eukaryota; Metazoa; Chordata; Aves; Passeriformes; Fringillidae.